This is a small nucleolar RNA of Sorex araneus (European shrew), 104 nucleotides long. NCBI's taxonomy places the organism in Eukaryota, Metazoa, Chordata, Mammalia, Eulipotyphla, Soricidae. The record is from Ensembl.
AUCCCUCUCCGGUUCAUAAACAUGAUGAUUGGGCGUUCACACACUUGGGUGGUGUGUGGCUCCCUUAAAACUUGUUAUGCAUUUGGCACAUUACCCAUCUGAUG